CGUAGGUGGCGAGCGUUGUCCGGAAUUACUGGGUGUAAAGGGCGUGUAGGCGGGAAUGUAAGUCAGAUGUGAAAUGCCGAGGCUUAACCUCGGAGCUGCAUCUGAAACUGUGUUUCUUGAGUGUCGGAGAGGAAAGUGGAAUUCCCAGUGUAGCGGUGAAAUGCGUAGAUAUUGGGAGGAACACCAGUGGCGAAGGCGACUUUCUGGACGAUAACUGACGCUGAGGCGCGAAAGCGUGGGGAGCAAACAGGAUUAGAUACCCUGGUAGUCCACGCCGUAAACGAUGGAUACUAGGUGUGGGAGGUAUCGACCCCUUCCGUGCCGCAGUUAACACAAUAAGUAUCCCACCUGGGGAGUACGGCCGCAAGGUUG
RNAcentral lists this ribosomal RNA (372 nucleotides) under uncultured organism. RNAcentral describes it as "bacterial SSU rRNA". It matches the Rfam family "Bacterial small subunit ribosomal RNA", at positions 526 to 896 of the family's 1533-position model. The record is from RNAcentral.